This is a long non-coding RNA of Herpailurus yagouaroundi (jaguarundi), 765 nucleotides long. RefSeq lists it as uncharacterized. The transcript has 3 exons. NCBI's taxonomy places the organism in Eukaryota, Metazoa, Chordata, Mammalia, Carnivora, Felidae. The record is from RefSeq and is a predicted model, not a curated record.
GAUGUGAGAUAAUGAAAUGCCUACGUGAUGAAACAAAGUGAAGGAAAUGACAUAGGCAGUUGAUGUAGCCUCAGGCUACCAUCGAUCUCCUGACUGUACAUCAGAAGGAAGAUCAUCUGCUUCUGAACUACCUCUGACUAUGGGUAACCGAAACCAUGGAAAGCGAAACUGUGGAGAAGCAGGCUGCACAACAGAUAACAUCUAAGGAAUGACCAGGUCAGGCCGUCAUGUGCAUGUUCCAGACCACUGUCCCUGAACACCUUGAUGCCAAGACCUUCUGGCUGUAGGGAAUAAGUGACUUAUGACAGACACCUGGAUCCUGUCUUUGUUUUGACCAGUUCCGGGAUGCCUGAGAAGACACGUGUACCAGACCACAAGCAUCAAUAAAAACCCCAGACCCCUAGCAAAGACUUCCUGUACUCCAACUGUACCUGCUCUCUCUCUCUCUAUUCCUUCAAUAAAUUCUGCUUUCACCUCCUGACGGUUCAAGUUUGAUUUCCAUCCUGUGUGAAGCCAAGGGCCAUCUUGGCUGGUCCUGUGUGACUCCCUCUGGGUCCUUCGACCCAGCCUGCCUGCAUCAUCUUGGCGACCACAAAGGGACCCUCAGAAGAACAGCAGUAUCCUCAGAUUGAGUCUGCAAAGCACAAUUUGGCCUUCAGGAACCGAUGCACACUACCACCACUAUCAUUGACAGAAAUCUGCUAAUCCAAACAGCUGGAACUGAUUUAUAUUUAACCAAGCUGAUAUUACUAUGUGAAAACUAGA